Ipomoea nil (Japanese morning glory) is the source of this 74-nucleotide transfer RNA. It matches the Rfam family "tRNA". From Rfam's summary of the family: Transfer RNA (tRNA) molecules are approximately 80 nucleotides in length. Their secondary structure includes four short double-helical elements and three loops (D, anti-codon, and T loops). The record is from Rfam. Lineage: Eukaryota; Viridiplantae; Streptophyta; Magnoliopsida; Solanales; Convolvulaceae.
GGGAUUGUAGUUCAAUUGGUCAGAGCACCGCCCUGUCAAGGCGGAAGCUGCAGGUUCGAUUCCUGUCAGUCCCG